UAGUUUGAUCCUGGCUCAGGAUGAACGCUAGCGGCAGGCUUAAUACAUGCAAGUCGAGGGGCAGCACAGAUAGCAAUAUUGGGUGGCGACCGGCAAACGGGUGCGGAACACGUACAGAACCUUCCUUUAAGUGGGGGAUAGCCCAGAGAAAUUUGGAUUAAUACCCCGUAACAUUAUUUAGUGGCAUCACUUAGUAAUUAUAGAUUUAUCGCUUAGAGAUGGCUGUGCGGCUGAUUAGGUAGUUGGUGCGGGUAACGGCCCACCAAGCCUUCGAUCAGUAACUGGUGUGAGAGCACGACCAGUCACACGGGCACUGAGACACGGGCCCGACUCCUACGGGAGGCAGCAGUAAGGAAUAUUGGUCAAUGGACGCAAGUCUGAACCAGCCAUGCCGCGUGAAGGAUGAAGGUCCUCUGGAUUGUAAACUUCUUUUAUCUGGGACGAAACCCUCGUUUUCUAACGGGAUUGACGGUACCAGAGGAAUAAGCACCGGCUAACUCCGUGCCAGCAGCCGCGGUAAUACGGAGGGUGCAAGCGUUAUCCGGAUUCACUGGGUUUAAAGGGUGCGUAGGUGGGUCUGUAAGUCAGUGGUGAAAUCUCCGUGCUUAACAUGGAAACUGCCAUUGAUACUACUGGUCUUGAAUUUUCUGGAGGUAAGCGGAAUAUGUCAUGUAGCGGUGAAAUGCUUAGAUAUGACAUAGAACACCCAUUGCGAAGGCAGCUUACUACGGGAACAUUGA
This 740-nucleotide ribosomal RNA is filed under the name uncultured bacterium. RNAcentral's name for it is "bacterial SSU rRNA". It matches the Rfam family "Bacterial small subunit ribosomal RNA", at positions 9 to 743 of the family's 1533-position model. The record is from RNAcentral.